RNAcentral lists this long non-coding RNA (1508 nucleotides) under Mus spicilegus (steppe mouse). RNAcentral's name for it is "lncRNA (ENSMSIG00000030835.1)". The record is from RNAcentral. Lineage: Eukaryota; Metazoa; Chordata; Mammalia; Rodentia; Muridae.
GUCUACUUUGCUCAUGGUUUCUGGGGACUCAGCCCAUGGUCACAUGACUCCAUGUGCUUGAGCAGAAUAUCAUGGUAAUAGAAGUGUGUAGUGAAAGAACGUCUUCAUGUUAUGGUAGACAGGAAGUAGGGGUAAGGAGGAAGAGAACAGAUACACCCCCGAGGACACAGCCCUAUCAACCUACUCCCUCCAGCUGACUUCAGCUCCUAAAGUUUCUAGAACUUUCCAAAAUGGCACCACUGACUGGAGAACAAGCCUCUAACAUAUGAGCCUCUGAGGAGGACACUGGUAUCCAAAUCUUAACACCUCCUCUCAUUAUGCCUGGCUGCUAAACAGUCUCAGAUUCUCUUUCUUCUGCUACCACCAAGGUAGCAGUCAAGAAAAUCUGAGCCUCUGAACUACUUCUUCCCUAUCUCAGGCCCUUCCAGGAUCAUCCACACUCUCAGCCCACAGGAGCCAGUGCAGCUCAGGAGAACUUGUGCCCAUUACUGCUUCACUACAGAGGCUGUCUCAGAAGCCAGAACCUCGGGUCCCUCAGUCAUCAGUCUCAGGUCGGAGAGCUUUCAAUCACUCGACUGCUUCUUGAGGUGACAGCUCAGAUUGCUAGCAAGAGAGCAACAUGUUUUGGAGGUGAUAUGUCGUUUCUCAUGUUUGGUCUGUUUUACUUCAGCUCCAGAAUACCCUUUUGGCCUCCGAUCAAGACUGUAUUGAUUGUACAAGUUCACUGUCUGACUCAGACCACAUCAACCAUGGCUUCCCAACACCUGUCCUCCACACAGGUGAAGACAACACUCACGGGCCCAUCCAUGCUUGGGCUUCUCCUAUCAGUUUUGGCCCAGGAUCUGGAGAAGCAUCAUGCUUUCUGAUGUAGACUUCUUCCCCGGCAGCUGCUGUGUGGGGCGAAAUCAAUGCAGAAAUACAUUGAUCAGACCUGGCUUGCCGGUGGUGAGCUUCCCCUGUGUUCCUUUCCUGGGAUUUUCUUUGAACCUAUGUACUCCUCUUUACCCUGGAGCCCCCACCCUAGAGUGAUCAAGCAACCCACUGUCUAUCACAGAGGAGCUUGGGCCAGCUUGGUCUUGUUCCAGCUGUUGAUAGUCCUUCCUCUCUAGUCCACGGUGAACUUCUACAGUAUGGAGGAUAUAUGAUUGAAAAUCCCGCUUGGCCCGAGUGCAGACCACCGACUUGGAAAGCAGAUGGGCUUGCAUGAAGAAGGGAUUCAUUAUCACGGUGGCCGUUGUGAUUGUCACCACCACAAACACAUUCUCAGGGCCGAGCACAAGCACUUCUAAACAAGGGUUCAGCUCAUCCCGAUGGCACACUGAGGUCAUUCGUAGAUGAGGAAACUAAGGUUCAGGGUCAUUAUGUACCCCCAAAUCGUAUGACUAGGAAAGGCAGAGGUGGGGCUUGAACUCAGGCACUCUGGUUCCAAAGCCCAGGAUAUAACAAUUCCAGUUUAAAAGUCUCUCCUCCUCUCAUCUGAGCGUCAGCUGCAGAGACAUGAAUAAGCG